This 202-nucleotide ribosomal RNA is filed under the name Klebsiella michiganensis. RNAcentral describes it as "partial 16S ribosomal RNA". It matches the Rfam family "Bacterial small subunit ribosomal RNA", at positions 1 to 210 of the family's 1533-position model. The record is from RNAcentral. Lineage: Bacteria; Pseudomonadati; Pseudomonadota; Gammaproteobacteria; Enterobacterales; Enterobacteriaceae.
AAAUUGAAGAGUUUGAUCAUGGCUCAGAUUGAACGCUGGCGGCAGGCCUAACACAUGCAAGUCGAACGGUAGCACAGAGAGCUUGCUCUUGGGUGACGAGUGGCGGACGGGUGAGUAAUGUCUGGGAAACUGCCUGAUGGAGGGGGAUAACUACUGGAAACGGUAGCUAAUACCGCAUAACGUCGCAAGACCAAAGAGGGGG